CAGGCGCGAAACCUCCACAAUGCGCGAAAGCGUGAUGGGGUUAUCCCGAGUGCCGUCCGAUGAGGAUGGCUUUUUAUCGAUGUAAGGAUUCGAUAGAAUAAAGGGGGGGCAAGACUGGUGUCAGCCGCCGCGGUAAUACCAGCCCCCUGAGUGGUAAGGACGAUUAUUUGGCCUAAAGCGUUCGUAGCCGGCUUAUCAAGUCUUUUGUUAAAUCCAACGAUUUAAUCGUUGGGCCGCAAAAGAUACUGUUAUGCUAGAGGACGGGAGAGGUCGACGGUAGUCCAGGGGUAGGGGUGAAAUCCUAUAAUCCUUGGAGGACCACCAGUGGCGAAGGCGGUCGACUAGAACGUGCCUGACGGUGAGGGACGAAAGCUGGGGGAGCGAACCGGAUUAGAUACCCGGGUAGUCCCAGCUGUAAACGAUGCGGGCUAGGUGUUGGGGCAGCCACGAGCUGCUCCAGUGCCGCAGAGAAGUUGUUAAGCCCGCCGCCUGGGAGUACGCCGCAAGC
RNAcentral lists this ribosomal RNA (508 nucleotides) under uncultured archaeon. RNAcentral's name for it is "bacterial SSU rRNA". It matches the Rfam family "Archaeal small subunit ribosomal RNA", at positions 336 to 848 of the family's 1478-position model. The record is from RNAcentral.